CCUACGGGAGGCAGCAGUAGGGAAUUUUCGUCAAUGGGCGCAAGCCUGAACGAGCGAUGCCGCGUGAGUGAAGAAGGCCUUCGGGUCGUAAAGCUCUGUUGCGGGGGAAAAAGGCAGCAUCAGGAAAUGGGUGCUGACUGAUGGUGCACCGCCAGAAAGUCACGGCUACCUACGUGCCAGCAGCCGCGGCAAUACGGAGGUGGCGAGCGUUAUCCGGAAUGGUUGGGCGUAAAGGGUGCGCAGGCUGUCCUGCAAGUCUGGAGUGAAACGCAUGAGCUCAAAUCAGGGAUGGCUUUGGAAACUGGAGGAAUGGAGAGCAGGAGAGGGCGGUGGAAUGCCAGGUGGAGCGGUAAAAGGCGUAGAUAUAGGGAAGAACACCGGGGGCGAAGGCGGCCGCCUGGCCUGUUGCUGACGCUGAGGCACGAAAGCGUGGGGAGCAAAUAGGAUUAGAUACCCUAGUAGUC
This 464-nucleotide ribosomal RNA is filed under the name uncultured bacterium. Its description in RNAcentral is "partial 16S ribosomal RNA". It matches the Rfam family "Bacterial small subunit ribosomal RNA", at positions 338 to 795 of the family's 1533-position model. The record is from RNAcentral.